This 351-nucleotide ribosomal RNA is filed under the name Triticum aestivum (bread wheat). RNAcentral's name for it is "partial small subunit ribosomal RNA". The record is from RNAcentral. Lineage: Eukaryota; Viridiplantae; Streptophyta; Magnoliopsida; Poales; Poaceae.
AUGAACCGCAAGAUUGUGCUGUUCAACGGCAUAUGGUGUAGGCUCAAGGAAGUGUACGUGAGUGGUCAAUCUGAUGACCAACUCAUGAAUAAAGCUCAUGACAUGUACAAGUCCGAGCAGAAGCAAACUUUCACAUUCGGGAAUCUAUGGAGAGAGCUACGGCAACACCCAAAGUGGACAAGGAUAUAUGCAGAGGAGAAAACGGGCACAGCUGAUGAUGAUGUAGUAAAUGAGAUUCAAGAAGAAACAAGGCCACCAGGGAGAAAUAUUGCGAAAGACAAAAGGAAUGGAAAAGGUAAAAGUUCAUCUGAAUUUUCUUCAGGUCUUUCUCAUGAUGACAUUCAAUUGUAG